Molecule: long non-coding RNA, 1668 nt
Organism: Triticum dicoccoides
Lineage: Eukaryota; Viridiplantae; Streptophyta; Magnoliopsida; Poales; Poaceae
Exons: 2
Source: RefSeq, a predicted model, not a curated record
CCCUUCUCUCUUCUACUCUUCCAGCUGUGGCGCCGCAGCGCGCUCGUUCGUGCUCGCCCCGACGCCCUCCCCUGGUAGCUUCCACAUUUGUUGUGCUCGCACGAAGCCCCACCGUCCUCCCGCGCGUCGCCGUAGAGCUCCAACCAGAACCAAAAAAAGCUGCAAUCGGCGCAUCGCCGUCGAUGCUGAGCGGAAGCGGCAGCCGAGCGUGCGUGCUACCACGGGGCGUGGAAAAGCUGCAUCCGGCUGACGGGGAAGCUGCUACCGGCACUCGCAGAAGCUGCGAUGACGACGACCCGCAAGAUGGCGACGUGCUGGAACCGGGGAAGCGGGAUGCUGCAACCAGCGAAGUUUUUUGCUGCCACCGUUGAUGAGAGAUUGGAGGAUGCCAAAGUGCAUGCUAGCAAGCAGUCUUCUCCCACUGUGAUGCAAUCGUCGGAAAUUUGUUGUGGUGGUGGCAUGGCACGUGAUACAGGAAGUCUUGAGUCAUUUGGAAGAUGGAGAUGCAGACUGCCGUGAUUGGUCUGCUUGUCAUCGAUGUGAGCCGUAAAUGUGGUCACUCGACGGUUGUGAUUUGUGAAGCUGCCAUGCUGCACAUGUAAUGGCAGCCUACAUUCAUCCUUCCAUGCACAGUUACUCAAUAGAGGACAAAUUGGAGGACUGGUCCAAUUGACAGGCACUCUUUACAUCGGUGGGUUGUGUGUCUACAACUAGCACCGUGAUGGCCAAGGAAGAUAAUACAUCGUUGUCUGCAGUCCGAUUGUAGACGGCACUGUGGAGAAGCUAGCUCUAAAUUAUUUGUUGAAAUUAGUAUGUGUGCUAACCGUGUUUGUUUGAUGGCGUUGGCACUUGGCAAUGAGCCAACCUUAGUAUGUUUACGGCAAAGCCAUGCAAAAGUGCACUGAAACAAUGAGACCAAUGUGAUGCCUUACAGGCAAAACAAGCAUGGAAGCAUGACCUUUGGUGAAUGUAUUGCAUUCAGUUAAUUCAGGUAAAGUGCAUGCAUAUACAUACCUUACCUAUGCUAUGGACACCUCUGUCUAGGUAGGCUAGUUAUAUAUAUGGUUUGUUGUACUGGAGCUGCUAUAGAAGGUAUCACACGAGAGAACUAACAUACUCGUAGUUAGCCAGCCCUUGACAAUGAAUAUGUCACAAAACAAGAGCUCGUGUAUCACGGCCCAAGGUUAAUGAAUGUUUAAAUUAACUUCUGCAUGGGAGAUUGGAGCGAACCAAACCACAAUCACAUCAGGCGAAGGACACAUAAGAAGACGCUUGUACCAGUACCAAAAUUUAGCCAUACUUCCACCGGUGAACUGUGGGGACUUAGCUAGUCUUGAGUUCCGAAUCAUAGGAGUGUUGUAGUGGACGGCUCAAUGAGUGAGGAAGUGCUUUGUACUUCUGCAUCUCUAAAUUAUUCCGUUUACGUUUAGUAGGUGGUUUGAACAUCUCCGUUGAAAACCAAAUGUCUCAAAAAUAUUAGCAUUGCACCUAGCAUCUGGAAUGGACUUCACACUGGGGCUCAGUGUAGGCAUAAAUGUUGUACUAGCUUCAUCAUGUGGCUGCAAUUUGUUGGACUAUUUGGGAUUGUUUUUGAAACAAACUGAUUAUACCUUCUGCUGAACUAUGUAAUGCUCAUUUAUUAAGAAUUGUGCGAUCUUUUGACACGGA